GGGAAUUUUCCGCAAUGGGCGAAAGCCUGACGGAGCAAUACCGCGUGAGGGAAGAAGGCCUCUGGGCUGUAAACCUCUUUUCUCAAGGAAGAAGAUCUGACGGUACUUGAGGAAUAAGCCACGGCUAAUUCCGUGCCAGCAGCCGCGGUAAUACGGGAGUGGCAAGCGUUAUCCGGAAUUAUUGGGCGUAAAGCGUCCGCAGGCGGCCUUUCAAGUCUGCUGUUAAAGCGUGGAGCUUAACUCCAUUAAGGCAGUGGAAACUGUUGGGCUUGAGUGUGGUAGGGGCAGAGGGAAUUCCCGGUGUAGCGGUGAAAUGCGUAGAUAUCGGGAAGAACACCAGUGGCGAAGGCGCUCUGCUGGGCCAUAACUGACGCUCAUGGACGAAAGCCAGGGGAGCGAAAGGGAUUAGAUACCCCUGUAGUCA
RNAcentral lists this ribosomal RNA (424 nucleotides) under uncultured cyanobacterium. Its description in RNAcentral is "bacterial SSU rRNA". It matches the Rfam family "Bacterial small subunit ribosomal RNA", at positions 357 to 796 of the family's 1533-position model. The record is from RNAcentral. Lineage: Bacteria; Bacillati; Cyanobacteriota.